AUUGAACGCUGGCGGCAGGCCUAACACAUGCAAGUCGAGCGGAUGAAGGGAGCUUGCUCCUGGAUUCAGCGGCGGACGGGUGAGUAAUGCCUAGGAAUCUGCCUGGUAGUGGGGGAUAACGUCCGGAAACGGGCGCUAAUACCGCAUACGUCCUGAGGGAGAAAGUGGGGGAUCUUCGGACCUCACGCUAUCAGAUGAGCCUAGGUCGGAUUAGCUAGUUGGUGGGGUAAAGGCCUGCCAAGGCGACGAUCCGUAACUGGUCCGAGAGGAUGAUCAGUCACACUGGAACUGAGACACGGUCCAGACUCCUACGGGAGGCAGCAGUGGGGAAUAUUGGACAAUGGGCGAAAGCCUGAUCCAGCCAUGCCGCGUGUGUGAAGAAGGUCUUCGGAUUGUAAAGCACUUUAAGUUGGGAGGAAGGGCAGUAAGUUAAUACCUUGCUGUUUUGACGUUACCAACAGAAUAAGCACCGGCUAACUUCGUG
Molecule: ribosomal RNA, 484 nt
Filed under: uncultured bacterium
Lineage: Bacteria
Description: partial 16S ribosomal RNA
Rfam family: Bacterial small subunit ribosomal RNA
Source: RNAcentral